Molecule: long non-coding RNA, 1797 nt
Filed under: Capra hircus (goat)
Lineage: Eukaryota; Metazoa; Chordata; Mammalia; Artiodactyla; Bovidae
Description: lncRNA (ENSCHIG00000004000.1)
Source: RNAcentral
ACCUCUGAUCCAUAAGAGAGCCUGGCAUCUGGAUCCCAGACGGUCACUUUGAGAGGUAAUUGUGAGAAGGCACAUUAAGACAUGCCAGCGUCCUGCUCCUCAUCCAAAUCCAUCCCCGCCCCUGAGAUCUGAGCAUCACUGAUGACGCCCUGAGCAUCACUGAUGACCUUGCCUGGGCCGCUCUGUACAGGGAUGGCCACCGAGUGAAGACCCCUCAGUCCAGCCCUCCCUCUACUUCAUCAGCUGCACGGUCAUGCCGCAGCAGCAGAUGCAAGGGCACCCAGAGACUGGGGCUUCACAGCUCAGCCCAGAGGAGAAGCAGAGAUGCGGAGCGGUGAGCACAGAGAACGGGCCGCGUGCUGCAUACAGCAUGCGGGAGAGAGCGGCCCGGGUCUGGGCCCUCCGGCGUCGCCAGGGUGAGGACGCCCAGGAGCUGUUUGCUGUUUGCUGUGUGCUCCGUCGUCAGUCGUGUCUGACUCUUUGUGACUCCAUGGACUGUAGCCCGCCAGGCUCCUCCAUCCUUCGGAGUCUCCAGGCAAGAAAACUGGAGUGGGUCGUCAUUUCCUUCUCCAGGGGAUCUUCCCGACCGAGGCACGGAACCCGCAUUCUCUUGCAUCUCCUGCGUCGGAAGGCAGGUGCUUUACCCCGUUGCCACCUGGGCAGCCUGAGGAUGCCCAGGACAGAAGCAGCUAAAUCGCCCUGGGACCCUGGAGACCCUGCGGGACCACAGCAGGGAGGCAUGUGGGACUGGAGGACCGGCCAGGGCCCCUCAGGCUGACUCCUGAGCGGGUGCUGACAGACAUCAGGGUCGACGCACAGUGGACACAGACACGAUGGAUGCUCUUUGCCCCCCUCAGAUACCCACCCCACCCCCUCCGCCUCUUCAAUCCUUCGUUUCUCAGCCGUCAGCUCAACACGCCCCUCCCAGACAGGCACCUGCCCUCAACCAGCUCACCCCAGGCUUCUCCAAAGUCCCAAGGCUUUAAAUAUAAUCUCCCAAAGUAACUGAAUUCUUAUUGGACACUCAAGAGAAUAAACUCUCAUUUUAUGUUUCUAUCAUAGCUAACUGAGUCCGAAUGAAAAUUUCCUCACCUUUAAAAACGGCAGGGCCGUCUCGGUUCAUUCAAAGCGAGUAAUGUACAUUCCUGCCACAAGUUGAAAUGAACCCACAUGUUCGGCAAGAAAGAAUACUGUGGAAACCAGAAUUGAAAGAGACACGUGUACUCCAAUGUUCAUCGCAGCACUGUUUACAAUAGCCAGGACACGGAAGCAACCUAGAUGUCCAUCGGCAGAUGAAUGGAUAAGAAAGCUGUGGUACAUAUACACAAUGGAGUAUUACUCAGCCAUUAAAAAGAAGGCAUUUGAAUCAGUUCUAAUGAGGUGGAUGAAACUGGAGCCCAUUAUACAGAGUGAAGUAAGUCAGAAAGAAAAACACCAAUACAGUAUACUAACGCAUAUACACGGAAUUUAGAAAGAUGGUAAUGAUGACCCUGUACGCAAGACAGCAAAAGAGACACAGAUGUAAAUAACAGACUUUUGGACUCUGUGGGAGAAGGUGAGGGUGGGAUGAUUUGAGAGAACAGCACUGAAACAUGUAUAUUAUCAUUUGUGAAACAGAUCGCCAGUCCAGGUUUGAUGCAUGAUACAGGGUGCUCAGGGCUGGUGCACUGGGAUAACCCAGAGGGAUGGGAUGGGGGGGAGGUGGGAGGGGGUUCAGGAUGGGGCCACAUGGACACCCAUGGCUGAUUCAUGUCAAUGCACAGCAAAAACCACCAAAAUAUUGUAAAGUAAUUAGCC